AGCGAACGCUGGCGGCGUGCUUAACACAUGCAAGUCGAGUGCGCAGUUUCCUGUAGCAAUACAGGAAAUGGGCGCACGGCGCACGGGUGCGUAACACGUGGACAAUCUACCCUUUGAUGGGGAAUAACCCGCCGAAAGGCGGGCUAAUACCGCAUAACAUCCCAGUCGCUUCGGUGAUAGGGAUCAAAGCCCGCAAGGGCGUCAUUGGAGGAGUCCGCGGCCGAUUAGCUAGUUGGUGAGGUAAUGGCUCACCAAGGCUUGGAUCGGUAGCCGGUCUGAGAGGACGAUCGGCCACACUGGAACUGAGACACGGUCCAGACUCCUACGGGAGGCAGCAGUGGGGAAUCUUGCGCAAUGGGCGAAAGCCUGACGCAGCGACGCCGCGUGGGGAUGAAGCUUCUCGGAGUGUAAACCCCUUUCGACCCGGACGAAUGACCCGCAAGGGUUUGACGGUACGGGGAGAAGAAGCCCCGGCUAACUACGUGCCAGCAGCCGCGGUAAGACGUA
RNAcentral lists this ribosomal RNA (507 nucleotides) under uncultured bacterium. RNAcentral's name for it is "bacterial SSU rRNA". It matches the Rfam family "Bacterial small subunit ribosomal RNA", at positions 29 to 529 of the family's 1533-position model. The record is from RNAcentral.